UUUCUUCGGAGAGUUUGAUCCUGGCUCAGGAUGAACGCUGGCGGCGUGCCUAAUACAUGCAAGUCGAGCGAACUGAUUAGAAGCUUGCUUCUAUGACGUUAGCGGCGGACGGGUGAGUAACACGUGGGCAACCUGCCUGUAAGACUGGGAUAACUUCGGGAAACCGAAGCUAAUACCGGAUAGGAUCUUCUCCUUCAUGGGAGAUGA
This 207-nucleotide ribosomal RNA is filed under the name Priestia megaterium. RNAcentral's name for it is "Bacillus megaterium 16S rRNA. Bacterial SSU". It matches the Rfam family "Bacterial small subunit ribosomal RNA", at positions 1 to 200 of the family's 1533-position model. Lineage: Bacteria; Bacillati; Bacillota; Bacilli; Caryophanales; Bacillaceae. The record is from RNAcentral.